RNAcentral lists this ribosomal RNA (618 nucleotides) under Chymomyza amoena. Its description in RNAcentral is "partial 16S ribosomal RNA". The stretch from base 370 to 529 matches the Rfam family "Bacterial large subunit ribosomal RNA", at positions 2473 to 2632 of the family's 2925-position model. Lineage: Eukaryota; Metazoa; Arthropoda; Insecta; Diptera; Drosophilidae. The record is from RNAcentral.
UUUAAGUUUAACCUGCCCACUGAAAUUUUAAAUGGCCGCAGUAUUUUAACUGUGCAAAGGUAGCAUAAUCAUUAGUCUUUUAAUUGAAGGCUGGAAUGAAUGGUUGGACGAAAUAUUAACUGUUUCAUUAAAAAUUUUUAUAGAAUUUUAUUUUUUAAUCAAAAAGUUAAAAUAAUUUUAAAAGACGAGAAGACCCUAUAAAUCUUUAUAUUUAUUAAAAUUUUUAUUUAUAAGAUUAUUUUUAUAAUAAUAGUAGUAAAUAUUUUAUUGGGGUGAUAUUAAAAUUUAAUGAACUUUUAAUUUUUAAAAUACAUUAAUUUAUGAAUAAUUGAUCCAUUAAUAAUGAUUAAAAAAUUAAGUUACUUUAGGGAUAACAGCGUAAUUUUUUUGGAGAGUUCAUAUCGAUAAAAAAGAUUGCGACCUCGAUGUUGGAUUAAGAUAUAAUUUUGGGUGUAGCCGUUCAAAUUUUAAGUCUGUUCGACUUUUAAAUUCUUACAUGAUCUGAGUUCAAACCGGUGUAAGCCAGGUUGGUUUCUAUCUUUAAAAAUUUAUAAUAUUUUAGUACGAAAGGAUUAAAUAUUAAAAUAAUUUUAUUUUAUAUAAGAAUAUUAAUAAUUU